GAUGAACGCUGGCGGCGUGCCUAAUACAUGCCAGUCGAGCGAACGGAUGAGAAGCUUGCUUCUCUGAUGUUAGCGGCGGACGGGUGAGUAACACGUGGAUAACCUACCUAUAAGACUGGGAUAACUUCGGGAAACCGUAGCUAAUACCGGAUAAUAUUUUGAACCGCAUGGUUCAAAAGUGAAAGACGGUCUUGCUGUCACUUAUAGAUGGAUCCGCGCUGCAUUAGCUAGUUGGUAAGGUAACGGCUUACCAAGGCAACGAUGCAUAGCCGACCUGAGAGGGUGAUCGGCCACACUGGAACUGAGACACGGUCCAGACUCCUACGGGAGGCAGCAGUAGGGAAUCUUCCGCAAUGGGCGAAAGCCUGACGGAGCAACGCCGCGUGAGUGAUGAAGGUCUUCGGAUCGUAAAACUCUGUUAUUAGGGAAGAACAUAUGUGUAAGUAACUGUGCACAUCUUGACGGUACCUAAUCAGAAAGCCACGGCUAACUACGUG
RNAcentral lists this ribosomal RNA (497 nucleotides) under uncultured bacterium. RNAcentral describes it as "partial 16S ribosomal RNA". It matches the Rfam family "Bacterial small subunit ribosomal RNA", at positions 28 to 507 of the family's 1533-position model. The record is from RNAcentral.